Molecule: ribosomal RNA, 656 nt
Filed under: uncultured Acidobacteriota bacterium
Lineage: Bacteria; Pseudomonadati; Acidobacteriota
Description: SSU rRNA
Rfam family: Bacterial small subunit ribosomal RNA
Source: RNAcentral
CAGCUAGUUGGCGGGGUAAUGGCCCACCAAGGCUUAGAUCGGUAGCCGGCCUGAGAGGGCGCACGGCCACACUGGAACUGAAACACGGUCCAGACUCCUACGGGAGGCAGCAGUGGGGAAUUUUGCGCAAUGGGGGAAACCCUGACGCAGCAACGCCGCGUGGAGGAUGAAGUCCCUUGAGAUGUAAACUCCUUUCGACCGGGAAGAUGAUGACGGUACCGGUAGAAGAAGCACCGGCUAACUCUGUGCCAGCAGCCGCGGUAAUACAGAGGGUGCGAGCGUUGUUCGGAAUUAUUGGGCGUAAAGGGCGCGUAGGCGGCGCGGUAAGUCACUUGUGAAAUCUCCCGGCUCAACCGGGAGGGUGCGCCGAAAACUGGAGGACUAGAGUGCGGGAUAGGAGAGUGGAAUUCCUGGUGUAGCGGUGAAAUGCGUAGAUAUCAGGAGGAACACCGGCGGUGUAGACGGCUCUCUGGACCGUAACUGACGCUGAGACACGAAAGCGUGGGUAGCAAACAGGAUUAGAUACCCUGGUAGUCCACGCCCUAAACGAUGCAUAUUUGGUGUGGGUGAUUCAGUUCAUCCGUGCCGGAGCUAACGCGUUAAAUAUGCCGCCUGGGGAGUACAGUCGCAAGGCUGAAACUCAAAGGAAUUGACGG